AAUAGAUACCCGGGUAGUCCACGCUGUAAACGAUGAGUGCUAAGUGUUAGAGGGUUUCCGCCCUUUAGUGCUGCAGCUAACGCAUUAAGCACUCCGCCUGGGGAGUACGGCCGCAAGGCUGAAACUCAAAGGAAUUGACGGGGGCCCGCACAAGCGGUGGAGCAUGUGGUUUAAUUCGAAGCAACGCGAAGAACCUUACCAGGUCUUGACAUCCCCUUGACCUCUCUAGAGAUAGAGAUUUCCCUUCGGGGACAAGGGUGACAGGUGGUGCAUGGUUGUCGUCAGCUCGUGUCGUGAGAUGUUGGGUUAAGUCCCGCAACGAGCGCAACCCUUGAGAUUAGUUGCCAGCAUUUAGUUGGGCACUCUAAUCUGACUGCCGGUGACAAACCGGAGGAAGGUGGGGAUGACGUCAAAUCAGCAUGCCCCUUAUGACCUGGGCUACACACGUGCUACAAUGGAUGGUACAAAGGGCAGCGAAGCCGCGAGGCUUAGCCAAUCCCAUAAAACCAUUCUCAGUUCGGAUUGCG
This 527-nucleotide ribosomal RNA is filed under the name uncultured bacterium. Its description in RNAcentral is "bacterial SSU rRNA". It matches the Rfam family "Bacterial small subunit ribosomal RNA", at positions 777 to 1302 of the family's 1533-position model. The record is from RNAcentral.